This 468-nucleotide ribosomal RNA is filed under the name uncultured bacterium. RNAcentral's name for it is "partial 16S ribosomal RNA". It matches the Rfam family "Bacterial small subunit ribosomal RNA", at positions 28 to 507 of the family's 1533-position model. The record is from RNAcentral.
GACGAACGCUGGCGGCGUGCUUAACACAUGCAAGUCGAACGGAAAGGCCCUGCUUUUGUGGGGUGCUCGAGUGGCGAACGGGUGAGUAACACGUGAGUAACCUGCCCUUGACUUUGGGAUAACUUCAGGAAACUGGGGCUAAUACCGGAUAGGAGCUCCUGCUGCAUGGUGGGGGUUGGAAAGUUUCGGCGGUUGGGGAUGGACUCGCGGCUUAUCAGCUUGUUGGUGGGGUAGUGGCUUACCAAGGCUUUGACGGGUAGCCGGCCUGAGAGGGUGACCGGCCAAAUUGGGACUGAGAUACGGCCCAGACUCCUACGGGAGGCAGCAGUGGGGAAUAUUGCACAAUGGGCGGAAGCCUGAUGCAGCAACGCCGCGUGCGGGAUGACGGCCUUCGGGUUGUAAACCGCUAUCGCCUGUGACGAAGCGUGAGUGACGGUAAUGUGUAAAGAAGCACCGGCUAACUACGUG